This is a long non-coding RNA of Equus caballus (horse), 1949 nucleotides long. Lineage: Eukaryota; Metazoa; Chordata; Mammalia; Perissodactyla; Equidae. The record is from Ensembl.
CUAAAACCAAACCCAGUCUGCCAUUUUUGUCUAAUACCCCCUAACAUGGAAGACGGAGGGGUCGAAUGAGAAGAGGCUACGCUGUGUGCUAGUGACUUACGACGAGCAGGACCUGUUCUUAGAGAGAAGAGCUGAACAUUCCUCUUUGUGGUUUGCAAAGAGACCAAAAGAAAACCUGCACAAAACUAUUAACAACAGCCAAUCCUUGCUGAACAUUUUCACAUCAGUCCUCUGAGACCGACACACCCCCCAGUACAUAGUUGUAUAUUCUUCGUUGUGGGUCCUUCUAGUUGUGGCAUGUGGGACGCUGCCUCAGCGUGGCUUGAUGAGCAGCGCCGUGUCCACGCCCAGGAUUUGAAUCAAUGAAACACUGGGCCGCCUGCAGCGGAGCGCGCAAACUUAACUACUCGGCCACGGGGCCAGCCCCUCACAGCCUAAACAGAUAUGGAAAGAAGGACCAUCUAUGGAGUGGAAUCAGCCUCGUGUGUCUAAAGGAUGUGGGGAGAGGGUGCAGGAUGAUGCUGAAGGGCUGGACAGACCUGGGUUUGAACCCUGCCUCUGCAUUUUCCUUUCCAAGUGGCCUCGGCGUGUUACUUAAUCUUUCUGAGUCUAAGUUUCAUGUUUAUGAAAAAUGAUAUCAAUAAUACUUGGGUCAUAGGGUUGUUGUGAAAAUUCAAAAAGAGAGGUUAUAAAGUUUUUGCCCAGCAUCUAAAAAGGGCUCAGGAAUGGAAACCAUUAUACCAUUUUUGUCCUUCUUCACAUGGAUGGAGGGUAAUUAAUCAUAACUAUCUAUCAGUCACUGAGCACCUAUUAUAUACCAUGUAUGUAUGCAUCUAAUACUUAAAACUGUGUUGCAAGACCAGUAUCAUUACCCCCAUGUUACAGCUAAGCCACCCAGCUACCAUGCAGUGGAGCUAAGAUUCAAAUUCAGGUUUGUUUCCCUCUAAAGCCUGGGUCCAUUCUACUAUCCUCCACUGCCUCCUCAAACCCAAGAAAAAGAUUCAACUAGUCCCGUGAACAUUGGUAGUUUUCAAUAGGGAAUUUCCUCUUCAACAACCUAUUCCCAGUUGCCAGCCUCUUGAAAGGCAACUUUUUGCAACUUAUCAUAAUUGAUCAUGAGCCAGGGACCCUAACCAGCCCCGUGCUCCAGCAUCUCAGUAAUGAGACCCACAAGCCUUAGACUUGUCUGGGUCAUUCGGUGUGUCUGGUCUUGGAUGGCACAUGGUUGUGAAAUCUUCAGACUCCGAGAAACUAUCACCUGUCAGGUCCAGCAAAAAGUUUGAUUCGUAAGCGUCUUAGUCUGUUUGGGAUGCUAUAACAAAAAUACCACAGACAGGGGGGUUUAAACAACAAAUAUUUAUUUCUCACAGUUCUGGAGGCUGGGAAGUCCAAGGUCAAGGCACAGACAGAUUCAGUGUCUGCUGAGAGCCUGCUUCCUGGUUCAUAGAUGACCUCUUCUUGCUCUGUCCUCACACAACAGAAGUGGGGAGGGCGCUCUUUGGGGCCUCUUUUAGAAAAGCACUAAUCUCAUUCAUGAGGGCUCCAUCCUCAGGAUGUAAUCACCUCUCAAAGGCCCCACCUCUAAAUACCACCACAUUGAGAAUUAGGAUUCAAUAUAUGAAUUUGGGGGAGACACAAACAUUCAGUCCAUAGUACUAAGUCAAUAUUUGCAAGAAUAAAAUCAGCAUGUUAUCCCCUGUGGAACUGUUCAUUAUUCCCUCUGAUCAUCUCCUUCCCAUUGGUUUGAUUUCUGAUGUGAGCUCUCAGCAUCAUGUGCUACAUGAGUGAUGGAGAACACACUACAGUUUCACAUCAACCACACAACCCACCCACAGCUCCUGUAGGCAGCCUGAUAUUUUGCCCUUAUGCUGUACUCUGGGAAGAGGAUAGGUGGUUGGUGAAAGACUCACUGAGGACAGUAUGUACAAGUUACCCCAGCUGCCAUCUCC